RNAcentral lists this ribosomal RNA (424 nucleotides) under uncultured prokaryote. Its description in RNAcentral is "bacterial SSU rRNA". It matches the Rfam family "Bacterial small subunit ribosomal RNA", at positions 355 to 796 of the family's 1533-position model. The record is from RNAcentral.
UAGGGAAUAUUGGACAAUGGGCGAAAGCCUGAUCCAGCAAUGCCGCGUGAGUGAUGAAGGCCUUAGGGUUGUAAAGCUCUUUUACCAGGGAUGAUAAUGACAGUACCUGGAGAAUAAGCUCCGGCUAACUCCGUGCCAGCAGCCGCGGUAAUACGGAGGGAGCUAGCGUUGUUCGGAAUUACUGGGCGUAAAGCGCACGUAGGCGGCCAAUCAAGUCAGGGGUGAAAUCCCGGGGCUCAACCCCGGAACUGCCCUUGAAACUGGUAGGCUAGAAUACUGGAGAGGUGAGUGGAAUUCCGAGUGUAGAGGUGAAAUUCGUAGAUAUUCGGAGGAACACCAGUGGCGAAGGCGGCUCACUGGCUCGAUACUGACGCUGAGGUGCGAAAGCGUGGGGAGCAAACAGGAUUAGAUACCCCCGUAGUCC